Molecule: ribosomal RNA, 715 nt
Filed under: Enterococcus sp.
Lineage: Bacteria; Bacillati; Bacillota; Bacilli; Lactobacillales; Enterococcaceae
Description: bacterial SSU rRNA
Rfam family: Bacterial small subunit ribosomal RNA
Source: RNAcentral
AUUUGGCCACUACAAUUGGAAAGAGGAGUGGCGGACGGGUGAGUAACACGUGGGUAACCUACCCAUCAGAGGGGGAUAACACUUGGAAACAGGUGCUAAUACCGCAUAACAGUUUAUGCCGCAUGGCAUAAGAGUGAAAGGCGCUUUCGGGUGUCGCUGAUGGAUGGACCCGCGGUGCAUUAGCUAGUUGGUGAGGUAACGGCUCACCAAGGCCACGAUGCAUAGCCGACCUGAGAGGGUGAUCGGCCACACUGGGACUGAGACACGGCCCAGACUCCUACGGGAGGCAGCAGUAGGGAAUCUUCGGCAAUGGACGAAAGUCUGACCGAGCAACGCCGCGUGAGUGAAGAAGGUUUUCGGAUCGUAAAACUCUGUUGUUAGAGAAGAACAAGGACGUUAGUAACUGAACGUCCCCUGACGGUAUCUAACCAGAAAGCCACGGCUAACUACGUGCCAGCAGCCGCGGUAAUACGUAAGUGGCAAGCGUUGUCCGGAUUUAUUGGGCGUAAAGCGAGCGCAGGCGGUUUCUUAAGUCUGAUGUGAAAGCCCCCGGCUCAACCGGGGAGGGUCAUUGGAAACUGGGAGACUUGAGUGCAGAAGAGGAGAGUGGAAUUCCAUGUGUAUCGGUGAAAUGCGUACAUAUAUGCGAUGAACACCCCUGGCCAACGCGCCUCUCUGGUCUGUCACUGACUCUGAGCUCAAAAGCGUGGGGAGC